RNAcentral lists this ribosomal RNA (568 nucleotides) under Debaryomyces sp. MTCC 7061. Its description in RNAcentral is "eukaryotic LSU rRNA". It matches the Rfam family "Eukaryotic large subunit ribosomal RNA", at positions 63 to 648 of the family's 3401-position model. The record is from RNAcentral. Lineage: Eukaryota; Fungi; Ascomycota; Pichiomycetes; Serinales; Debaryomycetaceae.
AACCAACAGGGAUUGCCUUAGUAACGGCGAGUGAAGCGGCAAAAGCUCAAAUUUGAAAUCUGGCACCUUCGGUGUCCGAGUUGUAAUUUGUAGAAGGUAACUUUGGAAUUGGCUCUUGUCUAUGUUCCUUGGAACAGGACGUCACAGAGGGUGAGAAUCCCGUGCGAUGAGAUGUCCAAUUCUAUGUAAAGUGCUUUCGAAGAGUCGAGUUGUUUGGGAAUGCAGCUCUAAGUGGGUGGUAAAUUCCAUCUAAAGCUAAAUAUUGGCGAGAGACCGAUAGCGAACAAGUACAGUGAUGGAAAGAUGAAAAGAACUUUGAAAAGAGAGUGAAAAAGUACGUGAAAUUGUUGAAAGGGAAGGGCUUGAGAUCAGAUUGGUAUUUUGCGUUCCUUCCUCUCGUGGGUUGGUUCCUCGCAGUUUACCGGGCCAACAUCGGUUUGGAUGGUAGGAAAAUGACAGUUGAAUGUAGCACUACUUCGGUGGUGUAUUAUAGCUUCUGUUGAUACUGCCUGUCUAGACCGAGGACUGCGUCUUUGACUAGGAUGUUGGCAUAAUGAUCUUAAGUCGC